RNAcentral lists this ribosomal RNA (253 nucleotides) under uncultured bacterium. Its description in RNAcentral is "partial 16S ribosomal RNA". It matches the Rfam family "Bacterial small subunit ribosomal RNA", at positions 524 to 776 of the family's 1533-position model. The record is from RNAcentral.
UCCAGAGGUCUCAAGCGUUGUUCGGAUUCAUUGGGCGUAACGGGUGUGUAGGUGGCGCGCUAAGUCGGGUGUGAAAUUUCGGAGCUUAACUCCGAAACUGCAUUCGAUACUGGCGUGCUUGAGGACUGGAGAGGAGACUGGAAUUCAUGGUGUAGCAGUGAAAUGCGUAGAGAUCAUGAGGAAGACCAGUGGCGAAGGCGGGGCUCGGGACAGUUCCUGACACUGAGACACGAAGGCCAGGGGAGCAAACGGG